RNAcentral lists this non-coding RNA (43 nucleotides) under unclassified sequences. RNAcentral describes it as "L31-Actinobacteria ribosomal protein leader". It matches the Rfam family "L31-Actinobacteria ribosomal protein leader". The record is from RNAcentral.
CUGGCUCCGGUUCACGUCCCGCAUCCGCGGACGACCCGGCGCU